Molecule: long non-coding RNA, 2067 nt
Organism: Rhododendron vialii
Lineage: Eukaryota; Viridiplantae; Streptophyta; Magnoliopsida; Ericales; Ericaceae
Exons: 3
Source: RefSeq, a predicted model, not a curated record
GGUGUUGCUUAUAUGGGAUCGGUAUUGUUUAUGCUUUGGUUCUGCUUCUGCUGAGUUCAUCUGCUAUAGUUUUUUUUGGUUUGUCUCUCUGCCACUAAUCCUAUUGGUCAAAGUGUCCCUACCCUUUGUUUCUUAAUAUAUCUUCUUUUGCUGAUUGAGGAAAAAAACUUAUCUUGGGGUGAUUAUGAAACAUUUCUUUUGUUGAUCGUGGAAAAAAAACUUAUCUUGGGGUGAUUACGAAACAUACUGUUGAACCCACCAAAAAAUCUAUUGAUCGACACCUAAUGUGAAGCUAAAUAUCUGCUUAUGUUUUCCUGUUCAAUUGAGGACCCAUCAUAGAUUAGUUUCCAUCUCAAUUUCCACCUUCUCAUGGACUCAUGGUGAGAUGGAAACUUGUACUUGAAAAAAGCAAACCUGAAAACUGUUAGUCCAUUAGUCUUAUCUUGUUGAUGUUUGUCUUUUUGAGUUGUAUUGUUUAAGAAUUUAAGAUACUAAAGAAAUUCAGUCGAAAAAAUGUUACAAUAAGGAUUAUAUCUUUUGCCUCUGUCCUAUUAUUUCGCCUUUACCAAUCUUGAACAUUAUCUUAACUGAUUAUCCUAAAUUCCACACUAUUCCCAAUUUUGGAAGGAUUUUGUAUGAUUAUACUAAAGUUCACUUUGAUUAGGUGAAAAAAAGGGGACUUUGUCACUUUGCUAGGUGAAAAAAGGGGACUUUCUCAUUUUUCUGAUGUUUAUGUGUGUUUAGAAGGUUAGUGCAAUGGGCAGCACCAUGAGCAUUUGGACAUAUUUGGUAUGUUAUGGUCCUUUCAUCUUUGUAUAACAAAAGGACUUCUCUUUGUUAUUUUGUCAUUCUAUAAUACAACUUUAGAUGGAUGGGCUCUAAUCAUUUGGCCCAUAAGAGCAAUGCUUAGAAAGAUUGUUUAGGGAUAUUAAUGUCCUAAAGAACUGUUUGUGAUGAAGUGAAGGUUACUCCUACAUUCUUUGGCUAUUACUAAUUAUUCUUCUAUGUUUGUUGUAGAGAGCUGGAGAGCCUCAAAGUCAAGAUUAGGUUAAAAAAAAUGUGAAGGAAAAGACAAGUGAAAUGUAUGUGCAUUUUGGUGCAGUUGUAAGAUUGCAACAUUGACACCUCAUAUUUAUCCGAUUCGUUCUUCGUAAGUUGGUUAAAUUUUUUAUAUGGGCUUUAUGGUACUUCUCUAUACUGUAAUGUUCUAGUAACUCAAUUCGUUCGAAUGAUUGAUGACUGCCUUAUCAGUGAUCCUUUGGUGCCUAACCCACUUGUAUAGCUGAAUUGCAAAUUGGAGACAAAGAGCAAAAGAAGGUGUCAAUCCUCUUCCAGAUCCUAAGCCAAUUAAUUGCUUAGGAUGACCGCUUGAAACCCAAUGAUAGAUAUGAAGUUCGGCGAGCGGAUCCAUAAGACGAUAAUGUUGAUGUGCCUCUUGCUUGAAAUAAUGGUUGUGUAAGUCUCAAACUCUACAGUAACCAGGAGAGAAUAGGAUAAAGGGGACAUGGGGGUGAGGAAAAGGAGACUUGGACGAUACAAAGGAUAGACUUUGGUUUUUUUCUCUUGUCUAUGUGAAGGUUGGAUACUCUGAUCUUGAGAGACUAAGGAAUCACCAAAUGAGCAGUUUUUUGAGUUGGGGAAAGUGCUUGGUCAGAUUAGGUUUAUCCUUGGAAGCUGCUGCUGGAAGAGAUACCAAGCCAACAUUAACAUACUCAGUACCUUCCCCUUCACUUUCCAAAGCUCGUUUUGAAACAGAUGGAAUAGCUGAAACUGGAGCUUCCUCCUCAUCAGACAAAACAGACUUGGUAACAACAGCUUGUCUACCAACCAAGCUAUCAAUUCUACUACAAGAGACAUCUGAAAUUGAAGUCUUGAUAUCACUGUUUGAACUCGGGAAAGUUUUGUCAUUUGUUUUAUCUAAUUAGUCAGACUCUUUUAUGUAGUUUUUGUAGGGGAAUUGUUUUCCCUGCUAAUGUAAUGAAUCUUUAUUCAAUGGUUAAAUUGUAUAUUGUACAUUGACGUUUAGAUAUAGUUGGUGUUGAAUGGAAUAUUUCAUUUUUGUUUUUU